AACGCAUCUUGCGGUCGUUGGUAUUCCAACGACCACGCCUGUUUCAGUAUCAAAAACACCCCACAUUCAUAAUUUUAUUAUUAUUGAAUGGUUUUGGGAGUCUACCGGCUUUAGUGUCGGUUCUCCUUAAUAAUAUUUGGCCAAGGUUGUUCUUUCUGUCUGCCUGAACUUUUUUUUAAUUUAAAAGAUUGUUCUUGCUAUUUUGUACAGAGGUUCCAAUAUCGUGGGCCCAUCAAAUAAUUUUUUUAAUUUUGAUCUGAAAUCAGGCGGGAUUACCCGCUGAACUUAA
RNAcentral lists this unclassified non-coding RNA (289 nucleotides) under Cortinarius sp. RNAcentral's name for it is "partial contains 5.8S ribosomal RNA, internal transcribed spacer 2, and large subunit ribosomal RNA". The record is from RNAcentral. Lineage: Eukaryota; Fungi; Basidiomycota; Agaricomycetes; Agaricales; Cortinariaceae.